GACGAACGCUGGCGGCGUGCUUAACACAUGCAAGUCGAACGGACAGGCCCUGCUUUUGUGGGGUGCUCGAGUGGCGAACGGGUGAGUAACACGUGAGUAACCUGCCCUUGACUUUGGGAUAACUUCAGGAAACUGGGGCUAAUACCGGAUAGGAGCUCCUGCUGCAUGGUGGGGGUUGGAAAGUUUCGGCGGUUGGGGAUGGACUCGCGGCUUAUCAGCUUGUUGGUGGGGUAGUGGCUUACCAAGGCUUUGACGGGUAGCCGGCCUGAGAGGGUGACCGGCCACAUUGGGACUGAGAGACGGCCCAGUCGCCUACGGGAGGCAGCAGUGGGGAAUAUGGCACAAUGGGCGGAAGCCUGAUGCAGCAACGCCGCGUGCGUGAUGACGGCCUUCUGGUUGUAAACCGCUUUCGCCUGUGACGAAGCGGUAGUGACGGUAAUGGGUAAAGAAGCACCGGCUAACUACGUG
Molecule: ribosomal RNA, 468 nt
Filed under: uncultured bacterium
Lineage: Bacteria
Description: partial 16S ribosomal RNA
Rfam family: Bacterial small subunit ribosomal RNA
Source: RNAcentral